UACAGAGGGGGCAAGCGUUGUUCGGAAUUACUGGGCGUAAAGGGCGCGUAGGCGGCCGCCUAAGUCAGACGUGAAAUCCCUCGGCUCAACCGGGGAACUGCGUCCGAUACUGGCGAGCUUGAAUCCGGGAGAGGGAUGUGGAAUUCCAGGUGUAGCGGUGAAAUGCGUAGAUAUCUGGAGGAAUACCGGUGGCGAAGGCGGCAUCCUGGACCGGCAUUGACGCUGAGGAGCGAAAGCCAGGGGAGCAAACGGG
RNAcentral lists this ribosomal RNA (253 nucleotides) under uncultured bacterium. RNAcentral describes it as "partial 16S ribosomal RNA". It matches the Rfam family "Bacterial small subunit ribosomal RNA", at positions 524 to 776 of the family's 1533-position model. The record is from RNAcentral.